Long non-coding RNA from Heterocephalus glaber (naked mole-rat), 1206 nucleotides. NCBI's taxonomy places the organism in Eukaryota, Metazoa, Chordata, Mammalia, Rodentia, Bathyergidae. The record is from Ensembl.
GGAGAGUUUGUGGUUCUUUCCUUUCUUAGCCUGUAGGUGUGAGUCAAGGGUUCACUCACCUCUACCCAUGCAGGUUGCUGAUAGGAAGCCAGUAGAUCAAACCACCAGCCACAUCCCAGGGGAGAAGGGAUAGUCUGCAGUCCUCGCCCCACACAGGACUGGCCAAUCCCAUGCCCUGAGUAACAGUCUCUUGCUGUUUAAAAUAGCUCCUCAUUUAAAAUUCAACCAGCUGAGAAGAGCUUGCCACGUACCAUUAGGAGGGACAGGCAGACUAGGAAGGGACCAACCAAUCCCAUGAGUCAGAGUUGUUUUCUUGGGAAAGACAAGAGAAGAGCUGCUUGAAAGGCCAAAGACCAACAGACAUGCUGCCUGGCUUCUGCUCCUGUCUGUCUUUGCCUGAGGUGCCAAAUAUCUGUCCCCUCCUCUUGGUCACAGAGAGAGGGCUCCCCAAGGCUCUCCAGUGUGCUAAAAACCUCUAAACCCAUCCCUGCCUGGUCAGCGUUGCAAAUCUCAAGCGGCAGCUCCUCCAGGCCCCCGGCUUCUCCUCCUGCCCCACUGCAUGGACAUGAAGACAGUCGUCACCUGGGACCCUCCUUCAGCCACACCGCUCUUUUGCAGCCUCUUGCCCCAAGGUUGAAUUCUUAUGAUUGUGUUGAUGCCAAAAGUUUAAGGGGCAGGACUGGGCCUGGCUGAGAACUUGUCAUGGGGGUUGUGUCUCCGGCCUGGUCUCUGGCCAUCAAAGGGAAAUCUUGCCUAGAUGGAGCAAGCUGACGUCGCAUUCCAUUGCGUGAAUUCCCACAGACAGCUCACAUCUCCAACUAAUUCAAGGCCAGUGGUUUUGGCCAAACCUUUGCCAAGGACUCUCUCGACUGAGUUGCCCCCACCCCUGCAUUGCCCAGUUUCCUGGGUAAGGGAGGACAUUUUUGGAAACAAAACUUGUGAAAUUAAUUUGUGAUUAUGAUUUUUUCUUCUUGCUGGAAACGUGCUGGGAAACAGACAGCAUGAAGUUAUCUCUCUUUCUGCUUUUCCAACCAAUACACCUGUUGUGCUCCUUGGUUUCUUGGUGAAGAAAAUUCUAGACGCAGACCUAAAUAUGAACUCUUCCUCCUGUAUUUCCGAUUAGCAAUUCUCCUGUGUAAUCCUAACUGUUGAAGUGUUUUCCUUCUUAGCAUUGCUUCUCAUAUUUUACUUUAUGUUUUUUUUUAC